RNAcentral lists this long non-coding RNA (2332 nucleotides) under Homo sapiens (human). RNAcentral describes it as "PREDICTED lncRNA (TCONS_00121071)". Lineage: Eukaryota; Metazoa; Chordata; Mammalia; Primates; Hominidae. The record is from RNAcentral.
GUUCCGUGUGGAUUUAUGAAGUGGUCACAUCUCCCCUUCCAGAUAAAGCUUGGCAGAGACUCGGCCACCCAGGGUCACAUUUCCUCUGCAGCCAAGCGCAGAGGGAAGAUUCUCCAAUGUGGGUGUGCAAAUAGGACCACCAGUGGGGAGCAGAGGCCGCUUUUCCAGACCAAGAGGAGUCUAGACUAUCACUCACACAUUCCCUGGUCAUCUGGGGCCGCCAGAAUUCUGAGAGUGCUUCAGUGGUCUGAAGCAGUGGAUGCAGAGAUUCUGAAACUGGGCAGAGGUUCCAGAAGACAAGUCAUUUUUCUAGACCUCCCAUAGACGCCAUCGUUGAUCAAGCCAUUUUCAUUUUCACGAAGUAUUUUAUUAUGGAACUCCUAAAGACCAUCAGCCCUACCUGGCACUGGCUUUCUGGUUGAAAAGCAGCAUUGUGGAGCCUGAAACAUCAUCAGAGGCAACUGCUUCCCCUCCCUGUGGAUUUAGGACCGCUAUGUGCAGAGGUCUGUAUUAGAGAGCCAGCUAGAGUAGCCAGCAGUGACAUAACUAUGUAGGGAGAAGACACAGUUGUCACCUUGACCCCACUGGAUACAGAAAUGUCAAUGGAAAAACAAAUUCUGCAUCUGCUGAAUUGUUCUGUCAAUGCUUGCACUUUCUUGUCAUUUACUAUAUAGAAAGAAUUAUUAGUAUCUUUUAUUUGUCAGUUAUUGAUCCACCUUUUUUUUUUUUUUUUUUUUGGUGGCAGUUCUCCUGUUUGUUAGUUUGCUGUCCCAGUUGAAUUCUGAGUUUCCGGGAAUCCCUAGUGCAAUGAGAAAUGAUGGAGAACCAAUUCUCAUUAUCUGAUGAAGGAAAGAGCCAUGUACCUACAACAGCAAAGGCUCAGACAAGCCUUCUCCUGCCUUGGGUUCAUGGUCACGUGCUGUAGGUGUCUUGUCUUCCCAUGUGCACCUGUCUGCAUCCUCAUGGUGCAUCCUCAGGAUGUCCCGUACAGUGUCUUACCUAUGGUUAUGCUUUUAUAACAAUGUGCUAAUAAAAGCAUGGAUUACAAAACAAAACAGAAGAUAUGGGUUUCCUUGUUGAUUUAGAUAUGCCCAAGCUUUCUGGGUUGGAAGACUGUAGUGUCUGGACUGUCUGGAGUCAAAGCAGUGUUGAAUCUAUAACAGCAAGAAACUAUUUCAGCAGAGCCAGAUGUCAGGUUCUGGGCUGAGCUUUGAUGGAAACUAAAGACAGGACAAGAGGAGUUUGCUUCCCAUGCAGAGGAGGCUGGAAUAUUGUACGUGAGUGAAGUGAUGAGCUUUAAAGAUUCAUCCGUGCUGUUAGCCCACUGUAUCAAAUGCUGGAUUCUUUCAUUUUGACUUUUUAAGUUUCUUUUUAGUGGUAGUUGGGAGUGGAGGUGGCUAGUGAGAAGAGAAAGACUUUUUCCUUUUUGAGCACCUCUUUGGACCAUUUACAUUCAUUGACAGCUCAGAAGAAUCCAACAGUUCCUGGAGUUUGGCAACAUUUCAUGGUGGAGAGAAAAGCAUCCCAAGGAUCUGUACAUAAAUAGCUGGUGCACAUCGGUCUCAGGUGUAAACAGAAGGAAGUCCAAGGAAGCCAAGUGGGAAGAUCCUUGCUGGUUUCUCCCUCUGAGGAAGAAGGAAAAUGCCAUGACUCCCACUAUGGCCUCUCUUGGAACCAUAUUUUGAGGUUCAUCUCAAAGAUCUCUCUUUGCAUAAUGUGUGUGUGGACCUGCCUACAGAUACAUUGGGUGGAAGCCCUAGGAGCCUCAAGCAAGUCUGAAGAUUGGCCCUGAGAACCACUGUUCUCAUUAUCAGCAAGGAUUUUAUCCAGAGACCUCUAGGAAUACAUUCACUAAAAUGUGACUGUGGUCCUGUGGUUGUAUGAACUCUGGCUCUUCUCGUGAAUUACAUUUCACUGGAGUCAGGUGUUUUCUGUAAACAUCGUUAAACCACGAGACCAACUGCAUUGAACAUUUUUUGCACUACAUUGUUUUAUUUCUUGCUCGUCUUUUCCUUGCAGAGCUGGGGCUGGGGUGAGGUGUGUGGUGUACCUAGCACUCAAAAUGUAAGGAUUCUCAGAGUCAUACAGGUGCACGGUCAGCACCUGAGAGUGAGCCACCCUUUAACAUUUUGCCUUCUAGGUGCUUCACUUGCCUUGCCCAAGCACUAGCCCUAGAUUAAAUAAUAUGUUUCUAUUAGUUUUUUAAAAUUAUAAUAUUAACAAUAACUAGCACUUAUUGAGCACUCCCUUAUGUGCCAGCAAAUGUGACUUACAUGUAUCUGCUUAUUUUUCCUUACAUGAAACCCUCUGAAGUAGAUACAAUGGGUAUCAU